CCCUUGAACUCUCAAAUACUCUCUCCUCGUCUUCUUUGGGUAAAAACCCUAGGCGCCGUUGGUUGAGUAUACUCUCUCUCUUGCGUCAUUUAAGCCGGAAAUGGAAAUGGAAGGGGUCCACACUGUUCGUUUUAGUUGUGUAUAGCUGGAAAAGGCAAGAGCAUUAAUGGCUCUGCCAAAACUCAACCAUUUCCAGCAUGGUUCAACCAAACACGGCAUUUGCCAUUGGUUGAGAGGAGAAUUGCGCGGAUUAAGCCCAUCUAGGGUGAAAUCUGGCCGUAUAUCUCCUUUUACUUUCAUUCUCGUUUGUUGAUUGGUAUAUUGAGAUUUAAUUUGAGAAAAACCCUCAAAAUAUCACAUCAAAGAAACCCUAGGUUUUGAGAUUUUUUGGAUCCUAUCUAAAAGACCCCACAUUUUCAUUGUUACAGACCUGGAACUGAAUAUCACAUAUUCACACUAAAAACUCAAAAAUUGGGGUUUUUCUUAUUGCUAGAACCAAACCUUUUUCAGAGUUAAGUUUCAAAUUUUAAAGUUUAUUUCUUGUGUUUCUUGUUGUGAUUUGGGGCUGAGUCUGAGGCAAAAAGGGGCGAAAAUUUUUCCAAAGGUCCAAUAUCUCUUCUCGGCUGUGCAACAAGAGGUAAUCUUCAUUCCCUUUUUAUUAUUUUUCUUGUCUUAUUUUUGUUUAUGUGUGUUUUAAUUCCUGUUUGUGCUUUAGUUCCAUGUUUAAUGUAGCUAGUUAGUGUUUAGCCUAGAGUUUCAUGUUAGUUAUUUUGUGUGUGUGUGUGUGUGUGUAGUUUUGCUUCCUAUUUAGUGUAGCUAAAUAUGGCUUAACAUUGGUCUUAACUCUAGGAAUGAGUUUAUUCUGCCCUUUAUUGUAUUCUGAGUUGUUUGAAAUAGUAUUGAUAUUAGGAUGUGGUUAGCCCUGUAGUUUUUUCUGUAAUAAAGAAGGUUAAUCUAGCCUAAACAACAUGAUUACUAGACUGCUUGUGUGUAUGUAGCUUGUUGAUGGAUCAAAAUGAGAAGGGGUAAACUGCCUAAGCUCUGUUGUUUUAAAAACUGAAUCUUACUUGGCACUUUUUGAUUCUUAAACUAACUAAAGAUCCUGUUAACUAAGCGUAGGAGUACUAUUGCUUAAUCUGUCUGAAAUGCAGCAAAUGGAUAUUGGUAUGCCUUUAUGUAUGACAUAGUAUGAUGAUAUGUUAAAUAGCUAUAGUUUGGGGCCUCUUGAAGACUAUAUACUUUGCUGUGAGUUCCUUUAUGUUGAAUGGAAAAGGAACUAGCUGUUAUCUCAAUACAUCUAGGCUGUUUAUAUCCUGUCUAAAAUUUUGUAGACACUAACAUGCCUUAUCUCAAUCCUGUACAUGCCUAAAUACAACAAGUGUGCUUUUAUUUUGGUUCUGUGUAUGUCUAAGUACUGCUGUGUGUGUAUACUUGCAAAUAUACUGUAUUUGAGUUGUUUAUGUAUAUGUACAUUGUCAGUAUACUUUGACUAAACACAUUGAUAAGGAGGUUAGUUGGUCAUUAUGGAUCAAGCUUAAACCCUCCCCGGUGUUAGCUAUGCCUGGGAUUCCUAGAAAUCCCUUGGAACUUGUGCAACAUCGGGAAGGCGGGGGCAAAACCUUUCCAAUAUUAACCCUUUAAACAUCCUUAUGGAUGUGUAUACACGAAGUAUACUCAAAUAUACAUAAUGUAUACAUAAGUCACUUGUUUGUUUUGAAUAUUGAAACUGCUCUGUUACUGGGCCUUAACCCAUUCUUGUUAUGAAUUAAAUUGUUAAGUUUGUGUGUUCUCCAAAAUGGGCCUAUAUGUGAUAUUAAUCUUUAUCCUUCUUCUAUGAUGAAACACCUCUUGCAUUUGGGCUUCUUUACAUCAAAUACAGGGACUGGGUCGAGGCCCAGUCCUAACUCUAUUUUGGGCCUGAUUUCGUAUAUUGGAAAUGGAAGCUAAUAUUUAUUAAAGGCCCAACCAUGGGUGUAAAUGGUGAAGGCCCAUCUAUGGGUAAAAAUAGCACUAAUGGGGAAGGUAGCCCAUUAGUAUUCUAAGUUCUUCUUUUAUGUUUAUUUGUUUGUAUGGUUUUUUGUAAAUUUAAACCUUAUUAUUAGUGAAACUCAUGGAUGUAGACACUGGGAUUAUCACCUAGUAAACUAGGAAAUUAAGAUAAAAGGAGUGCAAUCUUUUUUUUUUUUUUUUCAAACUUUGACUCUAAAAACUGAUUUUUGAACUCAACAUCUUUUGAGUGAGCAAAAUGAAUUUUGACAAAACAAUGGUAAACUGAUUUUUUAAACUGGAACUCGUGUUGUUUUGUAAUACUGAAGUUGUGUAUAAGUUAUACAUAAAUGGGAUCACUUGAGAAACUGAAAACAAAAUUUAGAUUUCUUGACAGAAAAACGACUUGUUUACAACAACCCUUUGAGAU
Long non-coding RNA from Lycium ferocissimum, 2416 nucleotides. RefSeq lists it as uncharacterized. The transcript is spliced from 2 exons. NCBI's taxonomy places the organism in Eukaryota, Viridiplantae, Streptophyta, Magnoliopsida, Solanales, Solanaceae. The record is from RefSeq and is a predicted model, not a curated record.